This is a long non-coding RNA of Lynx canadensis (Canada lynx), 2626 nucleotides long. RefSeq lists it as uncharacterized. NCBI's taxonomy places the organism in Eukaryota, Metazoa, Chordata, Mammalia, Carnivora, Felidae. The transcript is spliced from 4 exons. The record is from RefSeq and is a predicted model, not a curated record.
ACACACAGACUUAUACACAAAUGUUCAUAACAGCAUUAUUCAUAAUAGGCAGAGUGUGGAAACAAACAAAUGUCUCUCCACUGGUGAACGGACACAUCCAUGUGGUGUGUCUGUCCUUACGGCGAAACAUUAUUUAGCAGUCAAGAGGAAUGAAGUACUGAUUCAGUUAUAACAUGAAUGAACUCGAAACUUUAUGCUGUGUGAAGAAAGCCAGACAGAAAAGGCCACACAUUACGUGAUUCCAUUUUUUUUUUUCAUGGCACGCCCAGAAUAGGCAAAUCUACGGAGACAGAAAGCAGAUCAGCGGUUGUCUAGGGUUGGGGGGUGGCAAGGAGGAAAUGAAGAAUGACUGCUGAUGGAUGUGGGGUUUCUUUUUGAUCGACAAAAAUGCUCCAAAAUUGAUGGUGGCGAUGUUUAUACAACUCUGCCAGCACACUAAAAACCCGUGAAUUGUGCACUUGGAACGAGGUGUCUGUGUGUGAAUUACAUCUCCAUAAAGCUGUUAUAAAGACCAUUUGGAGGGUGACUGGCAUGUGAUCUUCAUGGCGAUCUCCUCUAUCGAAGAUCUAGGUCACUAGUGGAUUAUGAAAAUGCUAACAAAGCACUGGACAAAGCAAGAGCGAAAAAUAAAGAUGUUCUUCAGGCUGAGACAUCCCAACAAUUAUGUUGUCAGAAAUUUGAAAAAAUAUCUGAAUCUGCAAAACAAGAACUUAUAGAUUUUAAGACGAGAAGAGUUGCCGCAUUCAGAAAAAAUUUAGUGGAACUGGCAGAGUUAGAACUGAAGCAUGCAAAGGGUAACCUACAGUUGCUGCAGAACUGCUUGGCAGUGUUAAAUGGAGACACAUAAGCCACACUCCGCCUUUGGUUAAAAAGGGCUGCCUUCCUUCAGAUUUUAUUUUUGUUUUCUUAAUGAGAUUAGGCAUUUACUGCUCACUGGAAACAAAAGAAACAGCUGACCAAGCGCAUCUACUCUCCUUUUUUUCUGAGAAGCGAUGGAGCGGUGCCGUCCACGGGUUUUGCGGGUCCGUCCGUCUGUGUGGUGGAACGCUGCCCUCCUGCAGCUCCCCGUGUGCUCCCUGGGACGGUUGUCCAUCACCGUGCGCUCCUCCUCUUCCGAAGCCCAGCGUUCAGUCCUUUUUUAAGUAGCCUCUGUAACUGUCUUUAUUUUCUGAAUAGCGUUCCUUAUGGCUGCCAAUCUUAUUUCCCUUUAAGUAAUCUCUGAUGUUUAACCCUUUCAAAGAUGCAUUGUUCAGACAAGAUAAAGGUUGCCAUUACCUUUUGUUUUCUUUUGGUGUUUUUGUUAUGUUUUGUUUUGUUUUGUUUUGUUUUGUUUAAAAACAUUGUAUGCCACCUUAGUUCAUCCAUGUAUCCUGGUAAAAGCAUCUUAAUCAGACUUAUUUUUAAUUAAUGAACAUUUCUUAGAAGUUUUGGGACAGACUUUAUGUAAUCUUUAUAAGUAUGAUUUCUGAUGAAAAGCGACUGCAUUAGUAUGUUUGCCUUAAACUUGUAGACUAAACCGACUAUUGUCAAAUAAACCGUGGUAACAGUGAUAGUUUUUAACUCUGUGGUCAUUGUAUCACUCUAAAAUUUGGAGUAGCUAUAAUCAAUCUACUCCUUCGUUAUGCUUUACAGUGCAGGUCUUCUCUCUUUUUUCUCUGAAAAUGGCAUGUUGAACCAGGUUCACCAGUCCCCUUACGAAAGAAUGAACUGCUUCUCUGUGUGCUCUCAGCCUUUCCUAGAAGAUGGAAUUGGGCAGAGGCAGGUUCGAAACAGCUGUUUCUAAAAUACAGGAGGCAGACAGAAUGGUCCGUCUGUGAUGGUUUCCUGAAUUCCAUCCCUAGCCGGGCCAGUUAACCCUGCGACACGCCAUCGAGCCACUUGAUAGUUCUACUAGUGUACGGAUUGGUAUGGAGAGAGAAAGAGUGCUGUAAGGAACAGCCCUCGUGGGGGGGUGGGGGGGGUGGGGGGGGGGGAAUUGGAAUAUUUGGAAUGGAAGGCUCCAAAAAGGAUACUAGUUACAGUUACAAUACAAAUAUGAUUGGCCUUUUUAAUGUGAAUUAUCGCCACGUCAUUUCUAAUUUAAAAUUCGAUUGUGUGGUUUGGUUUUUUUCACUGUCUAACUUUUCUUCCAGUUGGAAACCACAGGUAUUUGGGUUGGUCACCUUGUAGGUGGGUUCCUCGUUUACAUUUUCCCCACCCCUGGUCUAGGUCUUCUGAGUAGUCACCAUGAUCCCAGCCUUGCUCUCCAGCAUGUUCUCUUGCCUUACUGGUGUGCUGGUUCACGUCUCUCUCUUUCACUGGCGUGGUUCCCUGGUUAUUCCCUGAUGUCGUUUGUACUCCCCCCCCCCCCGGUUGCCUGAGAAAUCUGUGUGUUUGGUCCUCCUGUCUGUCCCCUUCACUGGUGAGAAGACGCCCACUCGAUGCUCACCAGUGGAUGAACGGGACAGAGAGCCCUGGCUUCGGGACUCGGGUGCAGUCCCUUCGCCGGCUGCCCUUGUGGCCUAGGCAGGUUUGGUUCGCUUGACCUCUGUCUGCCUCAGUUUCUCUACUACAAAGGACAUACUGACCUACCUACCUCACAGGGGUGUUGUGAGGAUUAAUAAACAUUGGUACAGUGCUUUGAAAA